CGGCGAAUAGCAAUAUUGGGAGUUAAA
RNAcentral lists this non-coding RNA (27 nucleotides) under Rattus norvegicus (Norway rat). Lineage: Eukaryota; Metazoa; Chordata; Mammalia; Rodentia; Muridae. The record is from RNAcentral.